Mauremys reevesii (Reeves's turtle) is the source of this 1173-nucleotide long non-coding RNA. RefSeq lists it as uncharacterized. The record is from RefSeq and is a predicted model, not a curated record. NCBI's taxonomy places the organism in Eukaryota, Metazoa, Chordata, Testudines, Geoemydidae. The transcript is spliced from 3 exons.
UCAUUUUGUGUAGAAUUCAGUAUGCUCUGAGGUUGCUUAGAGGGCCCAAUCUAGUGAGCACAAUAGACAGGGCAACACCUGACUCAGUUUUUGAUCACACUGGGGCUUAGGUAUGAGACAGUGGUGCAAGUGCCCAAAGGCUGAAACAUAGGGGCCUCUAUGUUCCUUUGCCUGGUUUGUUCCUUUCUUUUGUUGCAAAGGGUCACUAACCUCAUUGAUUUAGGAAGAGGCCUGGACUAAAGAAAGCUACAGAAACAGAAGGCCAGAAUCACCCCAAACACCAGGGGGCUAUCAGAAGAGGAUUUAGAAAAACGUCAACUAAAGAUGAUAAAGGCAAAAUGAAAGCUUUAGACUAGUUAAGAUUGACAAUAUAGAUGUAGUCAGUGUAUUUGCUUUGUAGGAGAGGCCCUGUCUGCUCUGUUGACACUAAAUAGUCCAAUGACUUUUCAUAAGAGAUGAGGCUUGUCACAAGUCGUCUUCCAACUUGUGUGCUAGCUGACUUCCAACCUGAGGUUGGUUCAUUCAGUGGUGGUGCAGGAGUUGAGACUUAUUAGAAAAGGACAAGACAUCAACAAGAAAAUGGACAUUUUACAGUUUUUUCCACAGUCACUGAAAAAGAUACUUGAAAGAGCAUUUGCACAAAAACCUUAGAAGGAAACAAUCAUCACAAGGAACUGACUGCUCCUCUCCUGGCUCUCUGCUAGUGACUGUCUAAGGUCUUCCUCCAAAUGGCAACUGGAAACAGUCCAGAUGAACUGUGCUAUUCCCAUAGCAAGCAGCAAUUCCUAUCCCAUGUCUGUGAAGUAAUAAAAUGUGGAGAGACACACCACCAUCCCUCCCCCCACUAUUAGACACACUAAAAGGGGAAGGAGGUACUACCACCCCUUAUGUGCCAUCUCCACUGAAAUGAGCAAGGGGGAGGGGGAAUUCUAUCAGGAAGGGGAUAUAGUUAUGGGGAGGGGGGUGCACAUGCCAUACUGAGUCAAAAUUAGCAUAAGAGGUUUUCUCCCUCUCAUGGGGCUGUGACUAUCUUCCUUUUUGGAGGAAAGAUGGAUACAAUAGGGGGCUCUCUUCCCUAUGGGGUAACAGUUCACAUAGGUCCUUGCCCCUCCUCUAUGGAGCACCAGGGAGAUAUAUUGCGUGUGUGUUUAGGGGGUCUGUGCCCUCUCUAUG